CUCAGUUCGGACUGUAGGCUGCAACUCGCCUACACGAAGUCGGAAUCGCUAGUAAUCGCGGAUCAGCAUGCCGCGGUGAGUACGUUCCCGGGCCUUGUACACACCGCCCGUCACACCAUGGGAGUUUGUAACGCCCAAAGUCGGUGGCCUAACCUUUAUGGAGGGAGCCGCCUAAGGCGGGACAGAUGACUGGGGUGAAGUCGUAACAAGGUACC
Molecule: ribosomal RNA, 215 nt
Filed under: uncultured bacterium
Lineage: Bacteria
Description: partial 16S ribosomal RNA
Rfam family: Bacterial small subunit ribosomal RNA
Source: RNAcentral